This 324-nucleotide ribosomal RNA is filed under the name uncultured eukaryote. RNAcentral's name for it is "partial 18S ribosomal RNA". It matches the Rfam family "Eukaryotic small subunit ribosomal RNA", at positions 1470 to 1796 of the family's 1831-position model. The record is from RNAcentral.
CCCUUAGAUGUUCUGGGCCGCACGCGCGCUACACUGAUGCAUUCAACGAGUUUCUUCCUGGUCCGAGAGGAAUGGGUAACCUUUUGAAAGUGCAUCGUGAUAGGGAUAGACUAUUGCAAUUAUUGGUCUUCAACGAGGAAUUCCUAGUAGACGUAGUUCAUCAGACUGCAUCGAUUACGUCCCUGCCCUUUGUACACACCGCCCGUCGCUCUUACCGAUUGAAUGCUCAGGUGAGCCAUUCGGACUUUCAUCAUGCUGGUUUCCAGUUUUGAUGAAGGAAAGUCUUGCGAACCUUAUCAUUUAGAGGAAGGAGAAGUCGUAACA